Daktulosphaira vitifoliae (grape phylloxera) is the source of this 1841-nucleotide long non-coding RNA. RefSeq lists it as uncharacterized. The transcript is spliced from 3 exons. The record is from RefSeq and is a predicted model, not a curated record. Lineage: Eukaryota; Metazoa; Arthropoda; Insecta; Hemiptera; Phylloxeridae.
AAUAUUUGACCCGCUUGGACUAAUUGUACCGGUUGUAGUAUCAGCGAAAAAGAUAAUGCGACAACUAUGGGAACUGAAAACGGAUUGGGACGACCAGCUGCCCGCACACAUUAGUCGGGAAUGGGAAACGUAUCGUAAUGAAGUAGCAGAUAUCGAAAAAAUAAAAAUACCACGAAGAAUAAUUGGUUGUGACAACGUGUGCGACAUGCAAAUUCACGCUUUUGCGGACGCGUCUAUGAGUGCAUACGGAUCGUGUAUUUAUUUAAUGGCAACAGACACAGACGGGUCACGUAUAGUUCAACUUAUUGCGUUAAAAUCGCAAGUCGCUCCGUUAAAAAUGAUUUCACUCGUGCGACUGGAACUGUGUGCCGCCGUAUUAUCAGUGUGUCUCGUCAAUAAGUUAAUUCCAAAGUAUAAAUGUUGUACAAGUAAAAUAUGAUAUUGGCCAGAUUCACAAAUCGUUCUGACAUGGAUAAAUUCACCAUCCUCUCGAUGGAAAACGUUUGUUUCUCACCGCGUCGGAGAAAUAUAUUACACUUAUAUGGCUGAGCAAUGGAAGCACGUACGAUCAAGAGAUAAUCCCGAGAAUGCAGUCCAAAAGCACUAACAGAAAAUAAAUCAUGGUAGUGUGCAUAAAUAUACAUCUUGUUUCAAAUCUAAACCAAAGGUAUUUCAACCGAUUAUGGGCAACUUACCGAGCACGCGAGUUACAAGUUUCGAUAAAACAUUUUAUGCAACUGGCGUGGAUUUUUGUGGGCCUAUCUAUUUUAAAAAUAGUUUACGACGGAACUCUACUAAAAUAAAGGAAUAUGUAUGUAUUUUCGUGCGCUUUUCAUGUAAGGCCGUUCAUAUUGAACUAGUUGGUAACUUAACAACAAAUGCGUUUUUAAAUGCACUGAAACGAAUGUGGUGUCGUCGGGGUAUCGAAAAAUUUAUAUAUUCAGAUAACGCCACAAAUUUCUCAGGAAGCAACUAUAAAUUGAAGGAAUUAAAAAAUUUAUUUAUAUCAAAAAAACACCAAGCUGUAAAAAAUUGACUUGCCUCUGUCAAUGCGGAAUGACGAUUCAUUCCAGUCCGUUCACCACACUUUGGCGGUUUAUGGGAGUCGGCAGUGAAAUGAGUAAAGGGACAUUUAACUAGAACAUUAGGUUAAGCAUCACAUACUUUUGAAGAGUUAAACACUGUAUUAGUUCGCAUCAAAGCGUGUUUAAACUUACGACCCUUGAUACCAUUAUCUACGGAUCCUUCAGAUCUUAGUGCACUAACUCCAGCUCACUUUCUCAUCGGUCGAUCAUUAAUUGAUAUCCCAGAUCCAGACGUUAUAAACAUCACACCUGGGUGAUUAAAACGAUGGCAAAGAAUCACACAAUUGGUACAACAAGUUUAGGAACGUUGGCGAACUGAAUACUUGUCAACAUCGCAAUCAAAAUUUAAGUGGCACACUUCAGCCGAUCUCACACCAACUGUUGGUGCACUUGUCUUAAUAAAAGAAACUAAUCUACCAUCAUUGGAAUGGAAACUCGGACGAAUUAAUGAAUUGUUUCCAGGCAAAGAUAAUAUAGCCAGAGUAGCGACUAUUAAGACAAAUCAUGGUGUUGUCAAAAGAGCAUGUCGAUUAUUAUAUCCGCUCCCUAUUGAAGAUCAAGAAGACUGAUUAGGAAUGUUAUUGCCGAUUUUGUGAGAACUUAUCCCCAACCAGUUUCUUCAAAAUAUAUUGUUCACAAGUUUCAAUCAGUGAUAUCAGGUCGAUUCCAAAAAUACGAUUAUGGGCCAUAUGGAAAUAUAAAACAUUACAAUUCUUCAGUUGUACCCGAAUAUAAUAUUACAAAAGUAACUGCACC